CCUACGGGUGGCAGCAGUGGGGGAUAUUGCACAAUGGGGGAAACCCUGAUGCAGCGACGCCGCGUGUAGGAAGACGGUCCUCUGGAUUGUAAACUACUGUUCCCAGGGACGAAGAUGACGGUACCUGGGGAGGAAGCUCCGGCUAACUACGUGCAAGUCGCCGAGGUAAUACGUAGGGAGCGAGCGUUGUCCGGAAUUACUGGGUGUAAAGGGAGCGUAGGCGGGGAUGCAAGUUGGGUGUUAAAUCUACCGGCUCAACUGGUAGUCGCACUCAAAACUGCAGCUCUUGAGUGAAGUAGAGGCAGGCGGAAUUCGUAGUGUAGCGGUGAAAUGCGUAGAUAUUAGGCAGAACACCGGUGGCGAAGGCGGCCUGCUGGGCUUGUACUGACGCUGAGGCUCGAAAGUGUGGGUAGCGAACAGGAUUAGAUACCCGGGUAGUC
Molecule: ribosomal RNA, 440 nt
Filed under: uncultured bacterium
Lineage: Bacteria
Description: partial 16S ribosomal RNA
Rfam family: Bacterial small subunit ribosomal RNA
Source: RNAcentral